Molecule: long non-coding RNA, 1142 nt
Filed under: Sus scrofa (pig)
Lineage: Eukaryota; Metazoa; Chordata; Mammalia; Artiodactyla; Suidae
Description: lncRNA (ENSSSCG00035025155.1)
Source: RNAcentral
AUGAGCCACAGCCCCCCUUGGAGCCUCCAUAGGAGCCACAGCCCCCUUUGCCACAGCCGGAGCAGGCACAAGCUGGCACACAGCAGCACACAGGCUUGCAGCAGCUGGACUGGGAGCAGCCGCCACAGGAGCCACAGCCCCCCUUGGAGCCCCCACAGGAGCCACAGCCCCCCUUGGAGCCUCCAUAGGAGCCACAGCCCCCUUUGCCACAGCCGGAGCAGGCACAAGCUGGCACACAGCAGCACACAGGCUUGCAGCAGCUGGACUGGGAGCAGCCGCCACAGGAGCCACAGCCCCCCUUGGAGCCCCCACAGGAGCCACAGCCCCCUUUGGCACAGCUGGAGCAGGCACAGGCUGGCACACAGCAGCACACGGGCUUGCAGCAGCUGGACUGGGAGCAGCCAUAGGAGCCACAGCCCCCCUUGGAGCCCCCACAGGAGCCACAGCCCCCUUUGCCACAGCUGGAGCAGGCACAGGCUGGCACACAGCAGCACACAGGCACACAGCCGCUGGAGCCACAGCCCCCACAGCUGGAGCCACAGCCUCCGGAACAGCCAUAGCAGCCCAUGGUUCUGGCGAGUGGAGAGUGGAGUAAGUCAGAGGAGCAGCAGGGUUGGCAGCAGCUGGACUGGCAACAACUAGACUGGCAGCAGUUGGGCUUGUAGCAGCCACAAGAGCCACAGCUGGAGCAGGCACAGGCUGGCACACAGCAGCACAGGGGCUUGCAGCAGCUGGACUGGGAGCAGCCACAGGAGCCACAGCCCCCCUUGGAGCCCCCGCAGGAGCCACUGCCCCCUUUGCCACAGCUGGAGCAGGCACAGGCCGGCACACAGCAGCACACGGGCCUGCAGCAGCUGGACUGGGAGCAGCCACAGGAGCCACAGCCCCCCUUGGAGCCCCCGCAGGAGCCACUGCCCCCUUUGCCACAGCUGGAGCAGGCACAGGCUGGCACACAGCAGCACAAAGGCACACAGCCGCUGGAGCCACAGCCCCCACAGCUGGAGCCACAGCCUCCGGAACAGCCAGAGCAGCCCAUGGUUCUGGUGAGUGGAGGGUGGAGUCGGUCAGAGGAGCAGGGGCAGAGAGAGGGGAGGGCUCAGGUGUGGCGCCUCCUGGGCCGGGGGCCUCUACAUACCUGCCAG